GGCAGAUAGGAGGAGAUAUAGGGGAGAUAUAGGGGAUGUAGGGGGCAGAUAGGAGGAGAUAUAGGGGAGAUAUAGGGGAUGUAGGGGCAGAUAGGAGGAGAUAUAGGGGAGAUAUAGUGUAUGUAGGGGCAGAUAGGUGGAGAUAUAGGGAAUAUAGGGGGAUAUAUGGGGAGAUAUAGGGGAUGUAGGGGAUAUUUAGGGAGAUAUAGGGGAUAUAUGGGAGAUAUAGGGGCAGAUAGGAGGAGAUAUAGGGGAUGUAGGGGCAGAAAGGAGGAGAUAUAGGGGAGAUAUAGGGGAUAUGGGGAGAUAUAGGGGAUGUAGGGGCAGAAAGGAGGAGAUAUAGGGGAGAUAUAGGGGAUAUGGGGGGAUAUAGGGGAGAUAUAGGGGAGAUAUAGGGGAUGUAGGGGCAGAUAGGAGGAGAUAUAGGGGAUAUAUAGGGGAUGUAGGGGCAGAUAGGAGGAGAUAUAGGGGAUGUAGGGUGGAAUAUAGGGGAGAUAUGGGGGAGA
This is a long non-coding RNA of Oncorhynchus tshawytscha (Chinook salmon), 506 nucleotides long. Lineage: Eukaryota; Metazoa; Chordata; Actinopteri; Salmoniformes; Salmonidae. The record is from Ensembl.